RNAcentral lists this ribosomal RNA (447 nucleotides) under Escherichia coli. Its description in RNAcentral is "bacterial SSU rRNA". It matches the Rfam family "Bacterial small subunit ribosomal RNA", at positions 1 to 444 of the family's 1533-position model. RNAcentral also lists the same sequence under 1 other name. The record is from RNAcentral. Lineage: Bacteria; Pseudomonadati; Pseudomonadota; Gammaproteobacteria; Enterobacterales; Enterobacteriaceae.
AAAUUGAAGAGUUUGAUCAUGGCUCAGAUUGAACGCUGGCGGCAGGCCUAACACAUGCAAGUCGAACGGUAACAGGAAGCAGCUUGCUGUUUCGCUGACGAGUGGCGGACGGGUGAGUAAUGUCUGGGAAACUGCCUGAUGGAGGGGGAUAACUACUGGAAACGGUAGCUAAUACCGCAUAACGUCGCAAGACCAAAGAGGGGGACCUUCGGGCCUCUUGCCAUCGGAUGUGCCCAGAUGGGAUUAGCUAGUAGGUGGGGUAACGGCUCACCUAGGCGACGAUCCCUAGCUGGUCUGAGAGGAUGACCAGCCACACUGGAACUGAGACACGGUCCAGACUCCUACGGGAGGCAGCAGUGGGGAAUAUUGCACAAUGGGCGCAAGCCUGAUGCAGCCAUGCCGCGUGUAUGAAGAAGGCCUUCGGGUUGUAAAGUACUUUCAGCGGGG